CUGAAAUCAUUUCUUUUUCUGAUUGUGAGUAUAGU
RNAcentral lists this small RNA (35 nucleotides) under Bombyx mori (domestic silkworm). Its description in RNAcentral is "ovarian small RNA-14789". The record is from RNAcentral. Lineage: Eukaryota; Metazoa; Arthropoda; Insecta; Lepidoptera; Bombycidae.